This 492-nucleotide ribosomal RNA is filed under the name uncultured bacterium. RNAcentral describes it as "partial 16S ribosomal RNA". It matches the Rfam family "Bacterial small subunit ribosomal RNA", at positions 29 to 507 of the family's 1533-position model. The record is from RNAcentral.
AGUGAACGCUGGCGGUAGGCCUAACACAUGCAAGUCGAACGGCAGCACAGUAAGAGCUUGCUCUUACGGGUGGCGAGUGGCGGACGGGUGAGGAAUACAUCGGAAUCUACUUUUUCGUGGGGGAUAACGUAGGGAAACUUACGCUAAUACCGCAUACGACCUACGGGUGAAAGCAGGGGAUCUUCGGACCUUGCGCGAUUGAAUGAGCCGAUGUCGGAUUAGCUAGUUGGCGGGGUAAAGGCCCACCAAGGCGACGAUCCGUAGCUGGUCUGAGAGGAUGAUCAGCCACACUGGAACUGAGACACGGUCCAGACUCCUACGGGAGGCAGCAGUGGGGAAUAUUGGACAAAGGGCGCAAGCCUGAUCCAGACAUAACGCGUGGGUGAAGAAGGCCUUCGGGUUGUAAAGCCCUUUUGUUGGGAAAGAAAAGCAGCAGGUUAAUAACCAGAUGUUCUGACGGUACCCAAAGAAUAAGCACCGGCUAACUUAGUG